Molecule: ribosomal RNA, 414 nt
Filed under: uncultured Burkholderia sp.
Lineage: Bacteria; Pseudomonadati; Pseudomonadota; Betaproteobacteria; Burkholderiales; Burkholderiaceae
Description: bacterial SSU rRNA
Rfam family: Bacterial small subunit ribosomal RNA
Source: RNAcentral
CGGGAGGCAGCAGUUGGGAAUUUUGGACAAUGGGCGAAAGCCUGAUCCAGCAAUGCCGCGUGAGUGAAGAAGGCCUUCGGGUUGUAAAGCUCUUUUGUCCGGAAAGAAAUCCUUGGCUCUAAUACAGUCGGGGGAUGACGGUACCGGAAGAAUAAGCACCGGCUAACUUCGUGCCAGCAGCCGCGGUAAUACGUAGGGUGCGAGCGUUAAUCGGAAUUACUGGGCGUAAAGCGUGCGCAGGCGGUUUGUUAAGUCCGAUGUGAAAUCCCCGGGCUCAACCUGGGAACUGCAUUGGUGACUGGCAUAACUAGAGUGCAGUAGAGGAGAGUGAUUCCCAGUGUAGCAGUGAAAUGCGUAGAUAUAUGGAGAACACCAGUGGCGAAGGCGGCUCUCUGGCCUGUACUGACGCUGAGC